UCUUCUUAUUCGGUUCAAUCUCUUGCUGCUUUCACAUUUCAUCUAUCAAUUCCCACAUUCCUCCAUCAACUCUCUUCAUUCCAAACCCUAAUUCACUACUUUCGUUAUCCAUAUCAUCAAUAAACUAAGUCACUGACAAUCGUGAAUUUUCAAACCCUAAUCAACGCAGAUUCGAUCUUCGAAAUUCAAUCAGUUUGGUUUGGGGAAUUGGAGAGACGAUGAGUGCUCAGAAGAAGAGGAAUUUUCAGAUAGAAGCUUUUAAACAUCGGGUCGUGGUGGAUCCGAAAUACGCAGAGAAGACUUGGAAGAUCUUGGAACAUGCGAUUCAGGAGAUAUACAAUCACAAAAUUGGUUGUGUUCUCUCUCUCUCUCUCUCUCUCUCUCUCUCUCUCCUUGGGCUCACUGCCUCCAUUGCCUUGUUUCAACCACUUGCUCUUCUGGAUUUCGAGUGAUUCUCUGCCUAAACAGGCGAUUGUCAUCCUUCUCCUUCUGCUCUUUGCUCUAUAGAUAUGCAGCUAUUUUGAAAUUUUAUUGCCUUUUACCUUUACAAAUUGUUGCAGGUGUACCCAGAUGGGAAAAUGAGUCAGCAUUUUGCAAGCAUACUUUGUGUUGUUGCAGGUGUAACCAGUUCAUUGGUUUGGUUUGUGUUGUUAUUCUCUCUUUGUCCUAUGUGCCUAAUAUUUCAUGCAUAAACAUACUUUGUGUUCUCGAUACGUAUUGAUGCUUGUAGAAUGAAUUGGUUAGAACUCAGUCAGUAAUCAGCCCUGCAUAGGAAAUUUCAAAUGCUGUUGACACACAAUUUUACAAUUUAAGGAUCUUUAAUGAAAAAAUUGUUGAGAAAAGCUGAAUAGAUUGUUUAAUUUUGUACCAUUUAGAUAUUUAUGUAUGCUGAUACAUUGCGACUGUUUUAGUAGUUCUAAACUUGAAUCUUCCUUCUCUUCUUUCUGUAAUAAAAAUUGGUUGCAGAGCUUUUCAGGAAUUACUUGAAACAGAUAAGGGAGGAAACAAGUGGGAGACUCUUGAGCGUUGCAUACAGGCCCAAUGGCGCACCAAAUAAAUGGUGGCUGGCAUUCGCCAAGAGAAAAUUUAUGAACAUCAUUGUUCCCUGACGACCUUAUUCCAAGGCCAUUCAGCAGAAAAUCACCAUUUUGGCACCCCACACUCGACAAUUAUGGACAGAGUUGGUUUCAGAAAAUUCGUGAUAACAUGAUCUGAAGAACGAAAGGAAGCAUUACAGCUUUUUUAGCAAGCGAAGGAUACAGAAGGUCACUUUGGGUGUAUAGAAUUACCAAUUCCAGUAUAUCAUCCUUCCCAUGUGAGCGAACUGAAGCGGUUGUUGAGCCUGGUUUGCUUUAAGUGCUUGAAGUUGAGAAGUGGGAAGGUAAUGGAUAUGUUUAUAGAAGGCUCCACGUAAAAUCUAUUUGUCAUAAGUAAUUAAAUCCUUUUGCGUUCUUGAUUGAGAGGGUAGCAGAUUAUUGUGUUGUGUUAUGGUAAGAAUUUGAAGCUCUCGGUGAUUAUAGAUCAUUCUGCCAUAAUAUAUCCUAUAUUUGAUUAUUUAAUAAAGGAAGUUGGCAGACAUUUGAGUGUGGUCACAUAUGUGGUGGCCCUUUUCUAAAAGUGUUGUGUGAAUAUCAUUAUUUUUCUAUUGUUUCUCUGAGACAUUUAAUUUUAUAAAUUGUUUCUCUCUCCUUAUUUUAACUAAAA
Non-coding RNA from Camellia sinensis, 1704 nucleotides. Lineage: Eukaryota; Viridiplantae; Streptophyta; Magnoliopsida; Ericales; Theaceae. The record is from RefSeq and is a predicted model, not a curated record.